RNAcentral lists this ribosomal RNA (1461 nucleotides) under Triticum aestivum (bread wheat). Its description in RNAcentral is "partial small subunit ribosomal RNA". Lineage: Eukaryota; Viridiplantae; Streptophyta; Magnoliopsida; Poales; Poaceae. The record is from RNAcentral.
AUGCACGGUGCCGCAGCCACCUGGACGCCCCGGAAGCAGGUGGUGCUGUACCCGUCGCCCGGGAUGGGCCACCUGGUCUCCAUGAUCGAGCUCGGCAAGGUGCUCGCGGCUCGCGGCCUCGCCAUCACCAUCGUCAUCGUGAGCCUGCCGUUCGUCGACACCGGCGCCAGGGGGCCGUUCCUGGCCGGCGUCACCGCGGCCAAUCCCUCCGUCUCCUUCCACUGCCUCCCGCAGGUCGACGUCCCGCCGCUCGACUCGGACCACCCCGAGGCGGUCACCUACGAGGUCGCCGGCCUCUCCAUCCCGCACCUCCGCGGCUUUCUCGCCGGCGCCUCCCCGGCCGUCCUCGUCGUCGACUUCUUCUGCAGCAUCGCGCUCGACGUCGCCGCGGAGCUCGGCGUCCCAGGGUACUGUUUCUUCACGUCUCCCGCGGAGGUCCUGGCUUUUUCCCUGUAUUUGCCGGUCCUGCAUGCUCGGAGCGCGGCCAGCUUUCGGGAGAUGGGGGAAGAGCUCGUGCACGUGCCGGGCAUCCCCGCGCUGCCGGCGACUCACUUCCCCAAGCCGCUCAUGGACCGUGACGACCCGGCAUACAUAUGGUCGCUGAGAGUGUCCCCCGACCUCUGCCGCUCCCAGGGAAUCAUCGUCAACACCUUCCGCUCGCUCGAGCCACGCGCCGUGGACGCCAUCGCCGCCGGGCUCUGCACGCCCCCCGGCCUACCUACGCCCUCAGUCUACUGCAUCGGGCCGCUGAUAAAGUCGGAGGAGGUGGGCGUGAAGCGCGGCCACGAGUGCCUGGCGUGGCUGGACGCGCAGCCGACGGCCAGCGUGGUGUUCCUUUGCUUCGGCAGCCUCGGCGUGUUCAACGCAGAGCAGAUCAGACAGGUAGCCAUCGGCCUGGAGGCAAGCGGCAAGAGGUUCCUGUGGGUCGUGCGGAGCCCGCCCAACAAUGACCCGGCGAAGAGGUUCGAGGAGCCGCCGGAGCCGGACCUCGACGCGCUCCUUCCGGAGGGCUUCCUGGACCGGACCAAGGCCACAGGCCUCGUCGUCAAGUCAUGGGCGCCGCAGCGGGACGUGCUGGCGCACGGCGCCGUGGGCGGUUUCGUGACGCACUGCGGGUGGAACUCCGUGCUCGAGGCGGUCAUGGCCGGCGUGCCCAUGCUGGCCUGGCCGCUGUACGCGGAGCAGCGGAUGAACAGAGUGUUCCUGGAAGAGGAGCUGGGUCUGGCCGUGGCCGUGGAUGGAUAUGACACGGAGGUGGUGGACGCCGAUGAAGUGGCGGCAAAGGUGAGGUGGUUGAUGGACUCCGACGGCGGGAGGGUGCUUCGGGAGCGGACGACGGCGGCUAUGGGAAGGGCCAGGGAGGCACUACGCGAGGGUGGAGAGUCGAAUUUGACGUUGACUCGACUGGUGCAGGUCUGGAUGCUUGGCAACAUUGAAGAUGACGCGGGUUCCACGAGAUAG